GAACGAACGCUGGCGGCGCGCCUAAUACAUGCAAGUCGAGCGAGAAGACGUAGCAAUACGUUUGUAAAGCGGCGAACGGGUGAGGAAUACAUGGGUAACCUACCCUCGAGUGGGGAAGUAACUAGCCGAAAGGUUAGCUAAUACCGCGUACGCUCCUUGGACUUCGGUUCAGGGAGGAAAGGCGAUACCGUGGGUAUCGCGCUCUUGGAUGGGCUCAUGUCCUAUCAGCUUGUUGGUGAGGUAACGGCUCACC
Molecule: ribosomal RNA, 253 nt
Filed under: uncultured bacterium
Lineage: Bacteria
Description: partial 16S ribosomal RNA
Rfam family: Bacterial small subunit ribosomal RNA
Source: RNAcentral